This 200-nucleotide unclassified non-coding RNA is filed under the name soil metagenome. RNAcentral describes it as "partial contains internal transcribed spacer 2 and large subunit ribosomal RNA". The record is from RNAcentral.
CCUGUUCGAGCGUCAUUAACACACUCAAGCUCUGCUUGGUAUUGGGAAUCACUUGUUAUAGUGUCCCCUAAAAUCAGUGGCGGUGCCAUUCAACUUUCAAGCGUAGUAAAUUUCUCGCUUUGGAUGUCUAGUGACGCCUGCCAAAACAGCCUCAUUUUAAGGUUGACCUCGGAUCAGGUAGGGAUACCCGCUGAACUUAA